GUUACUUUGACAGAAUAAGUGUAUUAAAUUUAGAAUUUAAUUAUAUAUUAAUUUAAUUUAAUAUAAGUAAUA
This 72-nucleotide transfer RNA is filed under the name Acropyga sauteri. Its description in RNAcentral is "tRNA-Leu". Lineage: Eukaryota; Metazoa; Arthropoda; Insecta; Hymenoptera; Formicidae. The record is from RNAcentral.